This is a non-coding RNA of Otolemur garnettii (small-eared galago), 184 nucleotides long. NCBI's taxonomy places the organism in Eukaryota, Metazoa, Chordata, Mammalia, Primates, Galagidae. The record is from Rfam.
AUCACUUCUCAGCAUUUUGGGUAACGUCAAGUGUAGUAUCUGUUCUCAUCAGUUUAAUAUCUGAUAAAUCCUUUAUGUAAGGACCUAAUAUUAAACAGAUUUUUGGAAUCAGGAGAUGGAAUAGGAACUCAUGCCAUCUGGUCCAUGUAUGGUCCAAAAGAAUUUUUUAAAACAUAAAGAAUCA